RNAcentral lists this long non-coding RNA (224 nucleotides) under Setaria viridis. RNAcentral's name for it is "long non-coding RNA (SVIR_LNC003008)". Lineage: Eukaryota; Viridiplantae; Streptophyta; Magnoliopsida; Poales; Poaceae. The record is from RNAcentral.
UACCGAGGCUGCACUUGUACCUACAUGAUGCAUCAGGGGAACCCGGUUCCAGAUAGAGCGGGGAAAAGGUCCACACCAGUUCAAUCAGGUACUAGGCUUCCCGAUCCCAUACUCAAUAUGUGCUUAGUACUUUCAAACACUUGACCACAACUCUAACAUAUUUCGACCUUAGCAGCUUCCCUCUAGACAGACGGGGCAAUCCACCAAUUCAGAAUAGAUUUCCU